GAUGAACGCUGGCGGCGUGCCUAAUACAUGCAAGUCGAGCGAACGGACGAGAAGCUUGCUUCUCUGAUGUUAGCGGCGGACGGGUGAGUAACACGUGGAUAACCUACCUAUAAGACUGGGAUAACUUCGGGAAACCGUAGCUAAUACCGGAUAAUAUUUUGAACCGCAUGGUUCAAAGGUGAAAGACGGUCUUGCUGUCACUUAUAGAUGGAUCCGCGCUGCAUUAGCUAGUUGGUAAGGUAACGGCUUACCAAGGCAACGAUGCAUAGCCGACCUGAGAGGGUGAUCGGCCACACUGGAACUGAGACACGGUCCAGACUCCUACGGGAGGCAGCAGUAGGGAAUCUUCCGCAAUGGGCGAAAGCCUGACGGAGCAACGCCGCGUGAGUGAUGAAGGUCUUCGGAUCGUAAAACUCUGUUAUUAGGGAAGAACAUAUGUGUAAGUAACUGUGCACAUCUUGACGGCACCUAAUCAGAAAGCCACGGCUAACUACGUG
This 497-nucleotide ribosomal RNA is filed under the name uncultured bacterium. Its description in RNAcentral is "partial 16S ribosomal RNA". It matches the Rfam family "Bacterial small subunit ribosomal RNA", at positions 28 to 507 of the family's 1533-position model. The record is from RNAcentral.